This is a long non-coding RNA of Peromyscus leucopus (white-footed mouse), 336 nucleotides long. RefSeq lists it as uncharacterized. The record is from RefSeq and is a predicted model, not a curated record. NCBI's taxonomy places the organism in Eukaryota, Metazoa, Chordata, Mammalia, Rodentia, Cricetidae. The transcript has 3 exons.
ACAUCGAGACCAUUGCAGAGCCAAAGCCAGGGUGAAGAUGCUUAUGUGACAGCAUUCACGAUGUUCCCUGAUAAGUUCUCUACUCUCCCAGAAAACUGGGCUCAGAGAGGAAAAAGUGUAACCAGAGUCUCAGGUGCCAUUUUGUUUCUAUUAUAUCCAGUUUCAAGCACCAUGGUCAUCAUGUGCAUACAUUUUGUUGAAAAUAAUGGAAAAUACAGAAAUAUGUGUGCAGCAUUCUCAAAAGAAGCCAGUCUCAGUAAAGAAUUAUGGGACAUCUAUGUGAAAAUGUCUGCUGCAUAUGGAAUCCCAAGAGAAAAUAUACAAGAUAUCCUCAAA